UGGGGAAUUUUGGACAAUGGGCGAAAGCCUGAUCCAGCAAUGCCGCGUGUGUGAAGAAGGCCUUCGGGUUGUAAAGCACUUUUGUCCGGAAAGAAAUCCUUGGCUCUAAUACAGUCGGGGGAUGACGGUACCGGAAGAAUAAGCACCGGCUAACUACGUGCCAGCAGCCGCGGUAAUACGUAGGGUGCAAGCGUUAAUCGGAAUUACUGGGCGUAAAGCGUGCGCAGGCGGUUUGCUAAGACCGAUGUGAAAUCCCCGGGCUCAACCUGGGAACUGCAUUGGUGACUGGCAGGCUAGAGUAUGGCAGAGGGGGGUAGAAUUCCACGUGUAGCAGUGAAAUGCGUAGAGAUGUGGAGGAAUACCGAUGGCGAAGGCAGCCCCCUGGGCCAAUACUGACGCUCAUGCACGAAAGCGUGGGGGAGCAAACAGGAUUAGGAUACCCUGGUAGUCCACGCCCUAAACGAUGUCAACUAGUUGUUGGGGAUUCAUUCCUUAGUAACGUAGCUAACGCGUGAAGUUGACCGCCU
Molecule: ribosomal RNA, 527 nt
Filed under: uncultured bacterium
Lineage: Bacteria
Description: partial 16S ribosomal RNA
Rfam family: Bacterial small subunit ribosomal RNA
Source: RNAcentral